RNAcentral lists this ribosomal RNA (254 nucleotides) under uncultured bacterium. RNAcentral's name for it is "partial 16S ribosomal RNA". It matches the Rfam family "Bacterial small subunit ribosomal RNA", at positions 524 to 776 of the family's 1533-position model. The record is from RNAcentral.
UACAGAGGUCCCGAGCGUUUGUUCGGAUUCAUUGGGCGUAAAGGGUGCGUAGGCGGCGGGGUAAGUUUGAUGUGAAAUCCCGGGGCUCAACCCUGGAAUUGCAUUGAAUACUACCUUGCUAGAGUACCGGAGAGGAAACUGGAAUUUACGGUGUAGCAGUGAAAUGCGUAGAGAUCGUAAGGAAGACCAGUGGCGAAGGCGAGUUUCUGGACGGUAACUGACGCUGAGGCACGAAGGCCAGGGGAGCAAACGGG